Non-coding RNA from Odocoileus virginianus texanus, 2193 nucleotides. The record is from RefSeq and is a predicted model, not a curated record. NCBI's taxonomy places the organism in Eukaryota, Metazoa, Chordata, Mammalia, Artiodactyla, Cervidae.
GAGUUGGACACGACUUAGCGACUGAACCACCACCGUCACCAGCGGUCGGUAUGGAAUGAUACUCUGGCUAGGUGAAAGCCAAGAAAACAGCUUCAGUCCCUGGGCCCCCAGGACUCUCUCUCCUUCCUUCCCAAGUUGGUGGCUAGGAGUCAGUCAGCUGACUUGCGUCCUCCCAAGAUCUCUCUCUCGAUGCAAGAGAGCGUGUUCCAAGUCGGGAUGCCAGGUGUGGGGCCUCUGCUAACCCAGCCCCCAGCCCUGUCCGGUCAGGGCCACGUGGGAGCUGGGGCUCGCCCCACCUCGGAACACCAGACCCCGCUGACCUGGAACGCUUGAGCAAACACGGAGUGCUCUAUUAGAGGCUGGGGUUUAAAGGUCAGCUCUGUGCUUAUAGGCUGAGUCUGAUUCUCUGUCUCCGUGACUCUCAGGGAGUCUGAUGCCUGCAGAGUGGACUGAGGAGGUAGAUGAGUCUUUCCAUGCAGAGCGCGGAGCUGUUUGCUUUGCAAGGAGCUGUCUCUGCCCACAGGAAGUCCGCAGGUCAGCCGCAGGCGGGAGACGCGCCGAGGUCCCCUGCGUCGCACGCUUCCUUCUGACUGGAACUUAGAAAGCUCGAGAUCUGCAGUCUCCCUCCCACUGGCCGUCCUGCCUGGGUGCCAAGUUCCACACGGGGUUUCAUGGAUCGGCAGGUCAGAUGUUACACUUGUUUGCAGAUUUGUGAUUUUAUGAUUGUCACUUUGCAGCAUUCUGGGAGUGAUCUUCUCGUUUAUGCAUUGCUGGUGUUGUUAUUUAAGAUAGUUUUGAACUCUGUAGUUAUUAAGGAGAAACACAAAGCAUUCAGCAGGUUAAAAAUAAACAUAAUGGAAAAAAGGAUGCUUCAAAUUCAUUUGGGGAGAAAAAGUAAUAAUUGGGCACAGAGAGAAAGGAGACCACUUGUCAUUUGUUAUGUGAAAAAAUGCUGAAUGGAGAACCAGAGUUCCCUCCAACCUCUCUUCCUUGAGUGCUAAAGAAGGCAGAAGGAUCGCAUCUCUACCCUGGGUUGGAGCAAGUCAGGUAGCCGAGAGCAACGGUGCAGUGAAGACCCAUUUCCCACACAGACAAGCCCCACAGCCUCCCUUCGUUCCCCCGAAGUCGAGAAAUAUUUGGAAUGCUAGGAUGUCAUUUGGAACCCAGUUUGUUGACAUUAUUAUAACAACGGUUUCAGUUUGUCUCCGCAGUUAAGAUUGUGUCAGCACUUUCCUUUCUGUGUUUAUUAUUUUUAGCAGUUUAAAAGCUAACCAGGAAAGAUGGCUUUCUGGCAGCGAGGUGACAUUCCGGCUGGGCCAGGGUCUGUGGCGUCUGGACAGCCGUGGCUGGCGGUGGAGCCGGGCCCUCUGAAUGCUGUCUUUGUGCCUGCCAUCGCCAGCGCCUCUGGCCUAUUGUCCGGCUGCCUGGGUUGGGAUGGCGCUAUCUGAUUGUCGCCAGUGCUAAUAUUACAGAGCUCGGGGCCCUGGCCGCCCGGGGGCCCCUCCUCGAGCUGCCGCUGUCUCCCAGCCUUCCCUCCAGGGGGCCAGUCCCGGCUCUCAUAUCAGAAACACGAUUUGUGAUUUAUAGAAGGUUCCAGGGAGAGGGAUCGGUAAGAAUCGGCUAGACCUGCACUUCUCCAACUUUUUAAAUUUUUCUUUUUUUUUACAAAGAACACUUGAAUGCAGUCUUCCAGUGAAAGGCAAUUUGUAAGAUACGGAAAAGUACAGUAGUUCCGCUGGGAGGCGGGAAGCCCACGCUUCUGCCUGCACGCCGCCCACCUGCAAUGAAGGUGGCUUCUCAGGCCCCCAGGAAACCUCAGAGGACUUGCCCACUGUUUUCACGGGGCAGACCCCUCAAUUUGCAGAUAAGGAAGCCAAGAGGUGUUUUAUAGAUGCUUAAAACAUGAGACAUCAGUCACUUAAAAACUACACUGUGUUCAUCCAUUUUUACCUUGUUCUGAAAAAGGCACAGCUAUUCUGUGGUGAUAGCAAUCAAAAUAGUGGCUACUUUGGGGAGAGACCAGCUUGGCUAGGCAGGGGCACAGGGAAUUUUCUGGGGUGAUAGAAAUGUCUGUCUUCAUAGACAUGUGUGCUGCAUGGCAUUUGUCAAAACCUGCUUCCUUUUUGCUAUACAUAAAUUCUACCUCUGUUAACAAAUGAAAGCAACAAAGGAAAACAAAGCAAAAAAAAAAAA